CUAGAUCAUCUUUUUUAAGAAAAUACCUAUGGUGUUGUUGCUUAUAUCUUAGUUAUCAUCUCUCAGAAAAUACAUGUAGCAAAACCUGACCAGUCACAUGUUGGGCGCUACCAAAGGUCAUGUAUUCCAUAGAAACCAAUGAAUGGAUAAACCUUGCAAAUGAUUGGAAGACUCCUUCAGGGCGGCAAUAAUUCAGACAAUUUAUUGCUUGCUGGGUUCAUCCCUAUCAGACGCACAUUCACUUAUGCUGCCCACAUAUCUAUGCUUGGCCCUGGGGGGUAAUAGUGGUGGUUGCACCAAUGAGAACACAAGCUGUGAGAGGUGGGCUGGUCUCGAAGAGUGCACAAAAAACCCA
Long non-coding RNA from Magnolia sinica, 355 nucleotides. RefSeq lists it as uncharacterized. NCBI's taxonomy places the organism in Eukaryota, Viridiplantae, Streptophyta, Magnoliopsida, Magnoliales, Magnoliaceae. The transcript has 2 exons. The record is from RefSeq and is a predicted model, not a curated record.